UGCCCACUGAUUUAUUAUUAAAGGGCUGCAGUAUAUUGACUGUACAAAGGUAGCAUAAUCAUUAGUCAUUUAAUUGAUGACUUGUAUGAAAGAUUGGAUAAGAUAUAAACUGUCUUUAUAAUAUAAAUAUAUAAUUUAAUUUUUUAGUUAAAAAGCUAAAAUAUGUUAAAAAGACGAGAAGACCCUAUAGAGUUUUAUUUUUAUUAAAAUUAGUGUUAUUUAUAAUUUUUAUUAAUUAAAAUUUUAUAAAAAAUUUUAUUGGGGUGAUAGAAAAAUUAAAUAAACUUUUUUUGAAAAAUUUACAUAAGUAAAUGGUUAAAUGAUCCAAUUUUAUUGAUUAUAAGAUUAAAUUACCUUAGGGAUAACAGCGUAAUUUUAUUUUUUAGUUCAAAUAAAAAAUAGAGUUUGCGACCUCGAUGUUGGAUUAAGAUAAAAUUUGAAUGUAGAAGUUUAAAGUUUUGA
This 462-nucleotide ribosomal RNA is filed under the name Imaus munda. RNAcentral describes it as "partial large subunit ribosomal RNA". The record is from RNAcentral. Lineage: Eukaryota; Metazoa; Arthropoda; Insecta; Lepidoptera; Erebidae.